AAAUAAGUAAGCUAAUCUUAAGCUUUUAGGUUCAUACCCUAACUAUAGAAUUAUUUCUCUUAUUUA
Molecule: transfer RNA, 66 nt
Filed under: Dolichoderus quadripunctatus
Lineage: Eukaryota; Metazoa; Arthropoda; Insecta; Hymenoptera; Formicidae
Also listed under: 1 other name
Description: tRNA-Met
Source: RNAcentral